GAAGACGCUGGCGGCGCGUCUUAAGCAUGCAAGUCGAACGGCAAGGGGAGCUUGCUCCCCCUAGAGUGGCGGACUGGUGAGUAACACGUGGGUGACAUACCUUUAGUGGGAUAGCUAUUAGAAAUAGUAGAUAAUACCGAAUGUGACCAUAACUGUUAGAGGGUUAUGAGGAAAGGAGCUAAGGCUUCGCUAAAAGAUUGGCCCGCGGCCCAUUAGCUAGUUGGUGAGGUAACGGCCCACCAAGGCGAUGAUGGGUAUCCGGCCUGAGAGGGUGAUCGGACACAUUGGGACUGAGAUACGGCCCAGACUCCUACGGGAGGCAGCAGCUAAGAAUAUUCCACAAUGGACGAAAGUCUGAUGGAGCGACGCCGCGUGGAUGAUGAAGGCCGAAAGGUUGUAAAAUCCUUUUAAACUGGAGGAAUAAUCAUGGUAGGGAAUGACCGUGAGGUGACUGUACAGUUUGAAUAAGCAACGGCUAAUUACGUG
Molecule: ribosomal RNA, 486 nt
Filed under: uncultured bacterium
Lineage: Bacteria
Description: bacterial SSU rRNA
Rfam family: Bacterial small subunit ribosomal RNA
Source: RNAcentral